UAGGGAAUAUUGGUAAUCUGGGAAACCGGGAACCAGCAACGCCGCGUGUGCGAUGAAGGCCUUCGGGUUGUAAAGCACUUUUUGAGGGGAUGAGGAAGGACAGUACCCUCAGAAUAAGCCUCGGCUAACUACGUGCCAGCAGCCGCGGUAACACGUAGGAGGCGAGCGUUAUUCGGAUUUACUGGGCGUAAAGCGCGUGCAGGCGGCUCGAUAAGUUGGAUGUGAAAGCUCCCGGCUUAACUGGGAGAGGGCGGUCAAAACUGUCGGGCUAGAGGAUGAGAGAGGGAGGUGGAAUUCCGAGUGUAGUGGUGAAAUGCGUAGAUAUUCGGAGGAACACCAGUGGCGAAAGCGGCCUCCUGGCUCAUAUCUGACGCUCAGACGCGAAAGCUAGGGUAGCAAACG
Molecule: ribosomal RNA, 402 nt
Filed under: uncultured prokaryote
Description: bacterial SSU rRNA
Rfam family: Bacterial small subunit ribosomal RNA
Source: RNAcentral